GUACACUCCUACGGGAGGCAGCAGUGGGGAAUUUUGGACAAUGGGCGAAAGCCUGAUCCAGCAAUGCCGCGUGAGUGAAGAAGGCCUUCGGGUUGUAAAGCUCUUUGGUCAGGGAAGAAACGGUGAAAGCUAAUAUCUUUUGCUAAUGACGGUACCUGAAGAAUAAGCACCGGCUAACUACGUGCCAGCAGCCGCGGUAAUACGUAGGGUGCAAGCGUUAAUCGGAAUUACUGGGCGUAAAGCGUGCGCAGGCGGUUUUGUAAGUCUGAUGUGAAAUCCCCGGGCUCAACCUGGGAAUUGCAUUGGAGACUGCAAGGCUAGAAUCUGGCAGAGGGGGGUAGAAUUCCACGUGUAGCAGUGAAAUGCGUAGAUAUGUGGAGGAACACCGAUGGCGAAGGCAGCCCCCUGGGUCAAGAUUGACGCUCAUGCACGAAAGCGUGGGGAGCAAACAGGAUUAGAUACCCCAGUAGUCCC
RNAcentral lists this ribosomal RNA (474 nucleotides) under uncultured organism. RNAcentral's name for it is "partial 16S ribosomal RNA". It matches the Rfam family "Bacterial small subunit ribosomal RNA", at positions 331 to 797 of the family's 1533-position model. The record is from RNAcentral.